This 466-nucleotide ribosomal RNA is filed under the name uncultured bacterium. RNAcentral describes it as "partial 16S ribosomal RNA". It matches the Rfam family "Bacterial small subunit ribosomal RNA", at positions 28 to 507 of the family's 1533-position model. The record is from RNAcentral.
GAUGAACGCUGGCGGCGUGCUUAACACAUGCAAGUCGAACGAUGAAGCCCAGCUUGCUGGGUGGAUUAGUGGCGAACGGGUGAGUAACACGUGAGUAACCUGCCCUUAACUCUGGGAUAAGCCUGGGAAACUGGGUCUAAUACCGGAUAGGAGCGUCCACCGCAUGGUGGGUGUCGGAAAGACUUAUCGGUUUUGGAUGGACUCGCGGCCUAUCAGCUUGUUGGUGAGGUAAUGGCUCACCAAGGCGACGACGGGUAGCCGGCCUGAGAGGGUGACCGGCCACACUGGGACUGAGACACGGCCCAGACUCCUACGGGAGGCAGCAGUGGGGAAUAUUGCACAAUGGGCGCAAGCCUGAUGCAGCGACGCCGCGUGAGGGAUGACGGCCUUCGGGUUGUAAACCUCUUUCAGUAGGGAAGAAGCGAAAGUGACGGUACCUGCAGAAGAAGCACCGGCUAACUACGUG